Molecule: long non-coding RNA, 886 nt
Organism: Glycine soja
Lineage: Eukaryota; Viridiplantae; Streptophyta; Magnoliopsida; Fabales; Fabaceae
Exons: 5
Source: RefSeq, a predicted model, not a curated record
AAAAAAAUUAUUAUUAUUAUGUAGUCUUUAUUCUUCUAUAAUUUCUUAGUUUAUUUUCUAAUCAGAAAAUAAAUUGUUGCUUUGUUGAGUGAAUGUGCAACGGGAGGUGCAAUAUAAGUAAAAGAUAACUCUUUUUUCUUUCAUUUUCUGUCAUUUUUAUCAUGUUUUUCUUCCUUUUAUAUGUUGCAAAUGACAUAAAUACAUGACAUUAUCUCUUUUGUGAUCCUUUCUCUCCACCAUGAGUAGGUCAGGGCAACCACAGGAUUUUAAGACCUUAGUGUUCCUCUCAUUUUUCACUUGAAUUUAAUUUUUUUUCAAAUUUUUCAUGCUCUGUUACACUCGCUGCAUAUUGAUCUGCAAUUGUCUUUUAUGUUUUGGGGAUUCGGCGCGUACAUGGACAAGAAACUUCAGAGUUGCAACAAUUCCUAAAGAGAGAAAGAAACAAGAAAGAGAGAUUGGAGAAAAAGAUAACACGCUCUACUAAAAAAAUUCGAAACUCUUCAGUUUCAAUUUUGAAUUUGAGAAGGUGGGUGUGCAUGGAUUAAAUUAGCAGAACUAGAUUUCAUUUCCAACACUACCAGAUGAUGUUGUCGAGGAUGGAGGCUGGGAAGAAGGAUGGUGAAGUGAAUGGCAAUGAGAAAAAGGCCAUAGGGAUGGUGUUACCCGACUGAUCUUUCCAGGAGAGCAAGAAUUCACUCAGCGUUACAUUGGCAUCACCAAAAUUUGCGUCCUAGAGCAGCUGCAUCAUAGCUCUAAAAGAACCCUUUUGUAAUUGCAUUGUUGUCUAGAAAGUGAAACUACUAUAAAAUUAACGUUGUUUCAUGAGUUCUUAUCAUGUUGGCCUAAUGUUGCUAAUCUCACUGUAAAGAAAUCAGGGAUUAAUGCA